Non-coding RNA from Styela clava, 1214 nucleotides. The record is from RefSeq and is a predicted model, not a curated record. Lineage: Eukaryota; Metazoa; Chordata; Ascidiacea; Stolidobranchia; Styelidae.
CCGUCAGUGGUUAAUGAAUCGUCAAUCGAGGCUACUAAUCCGAGAGAAUUGUUGAGCCAAAGAGUCGAAGAAACGUGAUUCACCAUCGAGGACGCCAUCAGCCAAAGAGGUAAAGCGAAGUUUUACGAGAGGGGUGGCUACUCUUACACAGUUUAUCGCACCAACGCGAAUGGAACUGGUACGUCCGUACUAAUUACACAGUGUUCCAUUUUCUAUCACCCUGUUUCUAAUACCUAACAAUUUUAUUUUGCAGUUGCCUGGAGAUGCUCCGUAAGGCGGAAAGGGAACGUCUGCCGGCAAAGGUCCUGCAAAAGGACGAUGAUUUCAUCAGAAAGGAAGCGCCCCAUUCACAUGGCCCCGUGGUCGGCGAGCGACAACAUGGAAAACUGAAAAGAUUGGUGAGGGAACGGGGGUUAGAGAAUCCCUACACAGCUUGUGGGAUUGUGGCUAAAAUGGCACGCAAAGAGAUUGCAGCAGGUAGAUUGCAGAUUGGCGCAGUAAAGGAGGAAUCAUUGAAAAGAUUGUGCAACAUAAAGCGACAAAACAACAGACCGUCAGACCCAAGUACAAUCAAGGAGCCCCUGCAACAUCAACACAUUCCCAAUUUUUUUUUUAAUUGACGAUGCAAUAGUCAACGACGCACGUCACAUAAUCUUUUCAACGAGAAAACAGCUGUCACUUUUGUCGAAAGCAAAAACCUGGUUCAUGGAUAGGACAUUCGAUGUGGUUAAGGGGGCAUUCUACCAAAUUUUCCAUUCAUACCUUCAUCAGGAGCGGUGGAUGCUCUGAGCAGAUUCCGUUGGUCUUUGUCCUCAUGUCCCGGCGCCGGAAAAUACAUUCAUCCGGUCUACAUUCACAUCUUCAAUGUACUCAACAACUUACUCACUCUUUGUUUUCAUGUGCACAUGUGAAGAGGUUUGCGCUGGACUUCGAAGCCGCAACGUGGCAAGCACUUUCUUCAGUAUGGCCGGACGUUGAAAAGCAGGGCUGCUCUUUCCACUUCACCCAGGCCAUAAUGAAGAAUUUGCGCCACAAUAAUUUGGCUCGCCAAUACAACAAGGACGCUGGAACAAGAGAUCUGAUCAAGCAUGUCAUGGCUCUGUGCUACAUACCAUAGGCCGCGAGCCGAGGCCAUUUAUCUUUCAGUUUCGUAGCACACAUAUGAUGCUGUACUACAAAAGAAAACGGCAAUGUUCCACCAAUCCGACCUAACG